UUCCUCGUACCAGCCGGGAUAGCUCAGGAAACCUGGGUAAUACCGAUACGGUGCUUCGGCAUCAAGCUUGCCACCUUGGAGCGGGAACGUCCUAUCAGGUAGUUGGUGAGGUAAAGGCUCACCAAGCCGAAGACGGGUAGCGGGUGUGAGAGCAUGACCCGCCGCAUCGGAACUGAGACACUGUCCGGACUCCUACGGGAGGCUGCAGUAACGAAUAUUCCGCAAUGCGCGAAAGCGUGACGGGGCAAUGCCGCGUGUGGGAUGAAGCCCUAGGGGUGUAAACCACUGUCAGGGUUUAGGAACACAAUGACCAAACUCAAAGGAA
RNAcentral lists this ribosomal RNA (325 nucleotides) under uncultured Planctomycetales bacterium. RNAcentral describes it as "partial 16S ribosomal RNA". It matches the Rfam family "Bacterial small subunit ribosomal RNA", at positions 125 to 489 of the family's 1533-position model. The record is from RNAcentral. Lineage: Bacteria; Pseudomonadati; Planctomycetota; Planctomycetia; Planctomycetales.